This 475-nucleotide ribosomal RNA is filed under the name uncultured organism. RNAcentral's name for it is "partial 16S ribosomal RNA". It matches the Rfam family "Bacterial small subunit ribosomal RNA", at positions 333 to 799 of the family's 1533-position model. The record is from RNAcentral.
ACACUCCUGCGGGAGGCAGCAGUGGGGAAUAUUGCACAAUGGGCGCAAGCCUGAUGCAGCCAUGCCGCGUGUAUGAAGAAGGCCUUCGGGUUGUAAAGUACUUUCAGCGGGGAGGAAGGCGAUAAGGUUAAUAACCUUGUCGAUUGACGUUACCCGCAGAAGAAGCACCGGCUAACUCCGUGCCAGCAGCCGCGGUAAUACGGAGGGUGCAAGCGUUAAUCGGAAUUACUGGGCGUAAAGCGCACGCAGGCGGUCUGUCAAGUCGGAUGUGAAAUCCCCGGGCUCAACCUGGGAACUGCAUUCGAAACUGGCAGGCUAGAGUCUUGUAGAGGGGGGUAGAAUUCCAGGUGUAGCGGUGAAAUGCGUAAAGAUCUGGAGGAAUACCGGUGGCGAAGGCGGCCCCCUGGACAAAGACUGAAGCUCAGGUGCGAAAGCGUGGGGAGCAAACAGGAUUAGAAACCCUGGUAGUCCCAUG